UACGGAGGGUGCGAGCGUUAAUCGGAAUUACUGGGCGUAAAGGGUGCGUAGGUUGUUGAGUAAGUUAUCUGUGAAAUUCCUGGGCUUAACCUGGGACGGUCAGAUAAAACUGCUUGACUCGAGUAUGGGAGAGGGUAGUGGAAUUUCCGGUGUAGCGGUGAAAUGCGUAGAGAUCGGAAGGAACACCAGUGGCGAAGGCGGCUACCUGGCCUAAUACUGACACUGAGGCACGAAAGCGUGGGGAGCAAACAGG
This 253-nucleotide ribosomal RNA is filed under the name uncultured bacterium. RNAcentral describes it as "partial 16S ribosomal RNA". It matches the Rfam family "Bacterial small subunit ribosomal RNA", at positions 524 to 776 of the family's 1533-position model. The record is from RNAcentral.